GACGAACGCUGGCGGCGUGCUUAACACAUGCAAGUCGAGCGGAAAGGCUCCUUCGGGGGUACUCGAGCGGCGAACGGGUGAGUAACACGUGAGUAAUCUGCCCUUCACUUGGGGAUAACUACCGGAAACGGUGGCUAAUACCCGAUACGACAACUCCACGCAUGUGGUGGUUGUGGAAAGUUUUUUCGGUGGAGGAUGUGCUCGCGGCCUAUCAGCUUGUUGGUGGGGUAAUGGCCUACCAAGGCUUCGACGGGUAGCCGGCCUGAGAGGGUGACCGGCCACACUGGGACUGAGACACGGCCCAGACUCCUACGGGAGGCAGCAGUGGGGAAUAUUGGACAAUGGGCGAAAGCCUGAUCCAGCAACGCCGCGUGAGGGAUGACGGCCUUCGGGUUUGUAACCUCUUUCAGCNGGGACGAAGCGCCGGUAAUGGUGGUGACGGUACCCGCAGAAGAAGCACCGGCCAACUACGUGCCAGCAGCCGCGGUAAUACGUNAGGUGCGAGCGUUGUCCGAAAUUAUGGGGCGUAAGGGCUCGUAGGCGGUUUGUCGCGUCGGGAGUGAAAACACCGGGCUUAACUCGGUGCUUGCUUUCGAUACGGGCAGACUAGAGGCAUGCAGGGGAGAACGGAAUUCCUGGUGUAGCGGUGAAAUGCGCAGAUAUCAGGAGGAACACCGGUGGCGAAGGCGGUUCUCUGGGCAUGUCCUGACGCUGAGGAGCGAAAGUGUGGGGAGCGAACAGGAUUAGAUACCCUGGUAGUCCACACCGUAAACGUUGGGCGCUAGGUGUGGGGCCUAUUCCAUGGGUUCCGUGCCGCAGCUAACGCAUUAAGCGCCCCGCCUGGGGAGUACGGCCGCAAGGCUAAAACUCAAAGGAAUUGACGGGGGCCCGCACAAGCGGCGGAGCAUGCGGAUUAAUUCGAUGCAACGCGAAGAACCUUACCUGGGUUUGACAUACACCGGAAAGCCUUAGAGAUAAGGCCCCUUUUGUCGGUGUACAGGUGGUGCAUGGCUGUCGUCAGCUCGUGUCGUGAGAUGUUGGGUUAAGUCCCGCAACGAGCGCAACCCUCGUCCUAUGUUGCCAGCACGUCAUGGUGGGGACUCAUAGGAGACUGCCGGGGUCAACUCGGAGGAAGGUGGGGAUGACGUCAAGUCAUCAUGCCCCUUAUGUCCAGGGCUUCACGCAUGCUACAAUGGCCGGUACAAAGGGCUGCGAUGCUGCAAGGCGGAGCGAAUCCCAAAAAGCCGGUCUCAGUUCGGAUUGGGGUCUGCAACUCGACCCCAUGAAGUCGGAGUCGCUAGUAAUCGCAGAUCAGCAACGCUGCGGUGAAUACGUUCCCGGGCCU
RNAcentral lists this ribosomal RNA (1345 nucleotides) under uncultured bacterium. Its description in RNAcentral is "bacterial SSU rRNA". It matches the Rfam family "Bacterial small subunit ribosomal RNA", at positions 28 to 1381 of the family's 1533-position model. The record is from RNAcentral.